This 69-nucleotide transfer RNA is filed under the name Lophophysema eversa. RNAcentral's name for it is "tRNA-Tyr". It matches the Rfam family "tRNA". From Rfam's summary of the family: Transfer RNA (tRNA) molecules are approximately 80 nucleotides in length. Lineage: Eukaryota; Metazoa; Porifera; Hexactinellida; Amphidiscosida; Hyalonematidae. The record is from RNAcentral.
GAAAAUAUAGCUCACCCAAGCUUUCCGCUGUAAACGGACAGAAUGUAGGUUAAAAUCCUAUUAUUUUCA